GGAGACGUGGCUGAGCUGGUCGAAGGCACCUCACUGCUAACGAGGCAGGGUAGCAAUACUCUCGCGAGUUCGAAUCUCGCCGUCUCCGCAA
This 91-nucleotide transfer RNA is filed under the name Candidatus Campbelliibacteriota bacterium. Its description in RNAcentral is "tRNA-Ser". It matches the Rfam family "tRNA". From Rfam's summary of the family: Transfer RNA (tRNA) molecules are approximately 80 nucleotides in length. Their secondary structure includes four short double-helical elements and three loops (D, anti-codon, and T loops). The record is from RNAcentral. Lineage: Bacteria; Candidatus Campbelliibacteriota. RNAcentral also lists the same sequence under 1 other name.